RNAcentral lists this unclassified non-coding RNA (186 nucleotides) under plant metagenome. RNAcentral's name for it is "partial contains small subunit ribosomal RNA and internal transcribed spacer 1". The stretch from base 1 to 47 matches the Rfam family "Eukaryotic small subunit ribosomal RNA", at positions 1786 to 1831 of the family's 1831-position model. The record is from RNAcentral.
AAGUCGUAACAAGGUUUCCGGUAGGUGAACCUGCGGAAGGAUCAUUAAUGAAAUGUGUUGCCGGGGCCCAUAAUCCCGGCACUAACCUUCUUAAUCCAUCAACACCUGUGCACUGUUGGAUGCUUGCAUCCACUUUUAUACUAAACAAUUUUGUAACAAAUGUAGUCUUAUUAUAAAUUAAUAAAA